Molecule: transfer RNA, 580 nt
Filed under: uncultured Bartonella sp.
Lineage: Bacteria; Pseudomonadati; Pseudomonadota; Alphaproteobacteria; Hyphomicrobiales; Bartonellaceae
Description: partial 16S-23S ribosomal RNA intergenic spacer
Rfam family: tRNA (bases 171-243)
Source: RNAcentral
AAGCGCGCGCUUGAUAAGCGUGAGGUCGGAGGUUCAAGUCCUCCCAGGCCCACCAUUUAUGAUUGCUGAUAAGUUUGCUGAUAAGUUUUUUGUGAAUGUUUUGAUGGUCUUUUAUCUUACGAUCUUUCACUUUUAUGUUGCAAUCUUUCAAAAGUAUUUGAACUGUUUUAGGGGCCGUAGCUCAGCUGGGAGAGCACCUGCUUUGCAAGCAGGGGGUCGUCGGUUCGAUCCCGUCCGGCUCCACCAUCUUUGGUUAUCAUCAUCGUUAAAGAACAAUGUUUUGCAAUAGAUCUGUAGAUCUUAAGUCUAUCAUCUAUUGCCUGUUCUAUUGAAAUUGUGAAGAGAAGAUAUAUUCAGACAUUACUGUUUUAUUCAGCUAUUGUUGUUUUGUUGUUGCUUUUAAUGUUUAAGUCUCUCCUUGAAGGAAUGACAAAAAGCUUAAAAACACAACGCUAACUUAAAAACACAACGCUGACAUUGCUUUAGAGCAUUGGCUUUUAAAUUUAGUCAUUGUUUUAACAAUGUGUAAAGCAAUGUAAUGUGUCGCUAGGGUAUGCUCAAAGCCUUAGCUUUAUGAUGA